UACGGGGGGGGCAAGCGUUGUUCGGAAUUACUGGGCGUAAAGGGCUCGUAGGCGGCCAACUAAGUCAGACGUGAAAUCCCUCGGCUUAACCGGGGAACUGCGUCUGAUACUGGAUGGCUUGAGUUUGGGAGAGGGAUGCGGAAUUCCAGGUGUAGCGGUGAAAUGCGCAGAUAUCAGGAAGAACACCCGUGGCGAAGGCGGGUCUCUGGGCCGAUACUGACGCUGAGGAGCGAAAGCGUGGGGAGCAAACAGG
Molecule: ribosomal RNA, 253 nt
Filed under: uncultured bacterium
Lineage: Bacteria
Description: partial 16S ribosomal RNA
Rfam family: Bacterial small subunit ribosomal RNA
Source: RNAcentral